AGGACGAACGCUGGCGGCGUGCUUAACACAUGCAAGUCGAGCGGUAAGGCCUUUCGGGGUACGCGAGCGGCGAACGGGUGAGUAACACGUGGGUGAUCUGCCCUGCACUCUGGGAUAAGCCUGGGAAACUGGGUCUAAUACCGGAUAUGACCUGCUCUCGCAGUGGGGGGUGGGUGGAAGGAUUUAUCGGUGCAGGAUGGGCCCGCGGCCUAUCAGCUUGGUUGGUGGGUAAUGGCCUACCGAAGGCGACGACGGGUAGCCGACCUGAGAGGGUGACCGGCCACGGCUGGGACUGAGACACGGCCCAGACUCCGUAACGGGAGCAGCAGGUGGGAAUAUGCACGAAGUGGGACGAAAGCCGUGAAUGCAGCCGACGCCGCGUGAGGA
This 387-nucleotide ribosomal RNA is filed under the name uncultured soil bacterium. RNAcentral's name for it is "bacterial SSU rRNA". It matches the Rfam family "Bacterial small subunit ribosomal RNA", at positions 26 to 407 of the family's 1533-position model. The record is from RNAcentral.